Molecule: ribosomal RNA, 595 nt
Filed under: uncultured Basidiomycota
Lineage: Eukaryota; Fungi; Basidiomycota
Description: eukaryotic LSU rRNA
Rfam family: 5.8S ribosomal RNA (bases 187-340)
Source: RNAcentral
UCCGUAGGUGAACCUGCGGAAGGAUCAUUAAAGAUUCGACCUUCGGGUCUAUCUCUCUUCAGCUGUGCGCUUUGGCUGCACGCUGUCGAACCUCUCACACCUGUGCACCAUUCGGUUGCGGUUUCGGCCGCUUCCGCUUUUACACAUACAACCACAGUCCAGAAUGUAAAACACAAUAACAAUAACAACUUUCAACAACGGAUCUCUUGGCUCUCGCAUCGAUGAAGAACGCAGCGAAAUGCGAUAAGUAAUGUGAAUUGCAGAACUCAGUGAAUCAUCGAAUCUUUGAACGCAUCUUGCGCUCCUUGGUAUUCCAUGGAGCAUGCCUGUUUGAGUGUCACGUAAACCCUCACCCUUGCGAUGUCAAAGUCGUCUGUGGCGGAUUUGGACUGUGCCGUAAUUGGCUCGUCCUGAAAUGCAUUAGCUUGCGCUUUUUAGAGUGCUCGGCAUGGUGUGAUAAUUAUCUGCGCCGUCGCCUUAGGCCUCUUCUGUGUGCGCUGCUUCCAAUCGUCCCUCGUGGACAACAUAUUUUAAGCUUUGGCCUCAAAUCAGGUAGGACUACCCGCUGAANUUAAGCAUAUCAAUAAGCGGAGGA